CGAGAGUUCAGGGUUUAGUUCACGGUAAGUUAACCCUGCUUUCUGGAAUACACCCCAGGGUGACAUUAAACAAGGACUCCGUAACAAUGACAGAACAACCGGGGUAUUUAUACACAGGCAAAUGACAAUACUAACGGGGAAUUGGCUAAGUGCAAUGAUUAAUGACCAGGGACAGCUGAGUGCAAUGAGGAGACAGGGGAAGUGAGACCUCAAGUGGACACCCAGGGAACACAAACCAGACACUGUGACACGAACACAACAGUUACAUGUAAACAAUCAGUUACAGUUACAUGUAAACACAUUCGGGUAAUUACAUUGAUUGUGAUGCACGCACACAUAUACACAAUGUACACUUAGAAGAUAUAAUCCACUCAUUUCCUCUCUAAACUAUAUAAUGCACAUCCAAACUCUCUCUGUUCUACCACUCACUUUCCCGCUCCGUUACCUGGAAACCUGAGUGCCGUUACAUGGAGUGCGAACUUUGACAAUCCAUUUCAGUCCAAAUUAUGUGUGCGGGAAAGUCCAUGUUUCGGGGGGAAUACUUUGUACAACUACGUUACAAUACAGAUAUUUUUUGCUGUAAUAAAAAUCAACCUAAGCGAACAAUUAAUAUUACUAAUGUUAAUUAUUAAUAAAAUUACUUAAAAUACAUAUAUAAUAGCAAUGAAAAAUAAUAAUUAGUUCAAAUAAAGUAUCAAAAGCAAGUAAUCUAAAUGUUUUCUUUUUUUUUUUUUUACAAAACUGGUAAAAGUAAUGUAUUAUAAACAAUAGAACUAAUGUUACGCAUUAUAACGAAUGACUGCAGAGGCGCAGACGGCCUGACGAUUGUUUUUACAUUUUACUGCACAAUCUAAUCCUUGUUUAUUAUUGACUAAACAACAUUUACUUCCAAUAUCCACUUAAUCUGUAAUAUUUGGCCAUUUCUUUACGACAGAAAGGGUUUAAACUUUUAUUUUGAAAUCGGAUGAACAGUUCGCAUAUUAAGAAGGAUACUGAUGUUUUGUCCUGUAUUUGUGUAGGUUUAGAAAUGAUUUACCUUACAAAUCUGAUGAAAUGGCGCACGUUGCGUUCCCAGAUGAAUGUUGUAAUAAACCCAAACUCAUAACAAUAUGCAGAGAUGGAGUGUGAGACGCUCCACAAAUGUGAAUGAUAACAGUUUGUGUGGAGCAGCAUUUACUGUGAAUGGAGCUGCUCUGAGAUGCAUGUUACUAACCUACAUGCAUGUAAAUAAUUAAAGCGCAUAUAUUAAACCUGCAUCGCAUAUAUUUAAUUAAAUCGUAGCAUUUAUGAAUUCACAAUAGCAUUGUGCUAUGUUCAUUAUUAUUCGACACGGGUAAAAUGUAAUCGAGGAUUUUUUUUAAUUGAGUUCUUGAUUUGAAUCGAGAAAUCGUGACCCUAUUUUGCGGGUUAUCAAACAUGCCAUUCCUUGAUGUUUCGUCCCAUGAAGCCCAUGAUACCUCGAGGGGCUAGAAGCAGCAUUUUAAUUAAAUUCCUUAUUUUACUAUGUGGUCGUAAAUGUAGGCUAUUGAUUGGAAAGUAAACCACUGUCACACUAUUUGUUCUCCUGUUUUGUUUCUUGACCUACUUUUCCUUAGUUCCCUUGAUUAGUUCAUUCUGUUCACCUGUGUUUGAUAAUUAUCCUCAUUUGGUCUGUGUAUUUAAGUUGCUCUCUUUCAGUUCUUCCUGGCCAGUUAGUGCUGCUUGUGUUUCCCUGUGUGUUCUUGGAUCUCUCUUUUCUCCUUGAACUAUUAUUUAACGCUAUUUGAAUCAUCUCUGUGCGCCUAUCUCCCACACGAGAGCCCUAACGACCAUGUUUAAAAUAAAAUUUGUUUCAUGUACAACAUUUUGACUGAAAAGGUUCAGUACAUUGUAGUUUUAAAGCAGAAGAGUCAAACAUUCCCUACUUAAUCAUAUUUUAUUUCAAGACAUUAGUCAGGUUUUUGAAGUUAAAACACUUUCUUGCAGAACUGUUUUCUUACGCAUUCCUGAUUCCAAAACACAUGUCAGAAACAUUUCUGUCUUUUGCUUUUUCUUAUUCCAUUUGAAGUUCAAUAAGGUUUAUAAACCUGUAAUACUGAUGUAUUUCUGGCAUCUGGUAAGAAGACAUAAAGCAUGCAUUUUUUCCCCCAAAGGUGCAGUUUGCUCAAGUUCUGCCACCACAGCCCUGUGAUUUCAGGCCCAAUCAUUUCCACGAUCUCAACAGCUCAGAGAUCCCUGUGGCCAGCAGUUCUUCCUUUCAUCAUCCUGCAGACCCUCCUCCACAAUACACUGAAUCCAAAUAAGUAUUAAAAAGUGGACAGUGUGCCCAUAUGAAAGAAAAAUAUAUGGGAAUGUUUUGGAAAAUAUAAUGCAGUUUAUUAAACAAUACAUUUCUAUAUAUGGGAAAGCAGCGCUUAUAUUUUUCAAUAUACUGCAGUAUAGUCAUAGAUCACGUAUGGAUGUGUUUUGAUGCAUUUAAAAAAUACUGCAGUAUAAUUUUACAUGUAAUCGUUUUAUUGAAACACGCAUUUUCUCUUUCAAAAGUUACAGCUGAACACAUAUUCAUAAACUUUUCUAUAACUGUAUUUUUUGCAUAUCUACACAUUUCAUGAAUAAAAAUAUGUGACCUGUAAUAGAAAAGUGUGUCCUGAACACAAAGUUUUUUGUUUUUGGACAAUUGGAUGUCUUAAAUGUCAGAUCUCUUUUUCUAAGCACCAUGAUUUUAUCACUUUAUUGAGUGCUUUAUACACUAUAUCAAUACAAAUUUAUAUUUUCCUCAUAAUUGUGUACUUUUCUAGUGCACGUACCUGUUCCAGUAUAUAUAUGUGUGUACGUAUACAAACAGUUUAUCAUAUGUUUAUCUAUGUAUUAUGAAGAAUAUUAUUGAAUACAUACAUUACAUUACAAUACAUAAACAAAUAUAUUGUCACAUUUUUCAAUAUAUGAAAACCAGUGAUUCCUUCUGUAUACAUUAAACAAUUGAGUAUAUUGAUUGUUAAUAUACCAGACAAUGUAUUUUCUUUGGUCCUGCCGUUGUGUGUGAAUCUGUCGUGCGACACAUGGGUUUUUC
Long non-coding RNA from Cyprinus carpio carpio, 3049 nucleotides. Lineage: Eukaryota; Metazoa; Chordata; Actinopteri; Cypriniformes; Cyprinidae. The record is from Ensembl.